Lagopus muta (rock ptarmigan) is the source of this 1293-nucleotide long non-coding RNA. RefSeq lists it as uncharacterized. The record is from RefSeq and is a predicted model, not a curated record. The transcript is spliced from 4 exons. NCBI's taxonomy places the organism in Eukaryota, Metazoa, Chordata, Aves, Galliformes, Phasianidae.
UGCUCCAGGCACAGAGCUGAAGUUGUGUAGAUUUCUCCUCCUUCUCCCCUCCUAUCUAAUGUUUUUUCUUUCCUCUUCAUUCUCCAAAAAGAAAAAUGAGACUUGAUGGAGCGUUCAGUUUUUGUUGCUUUUUUUUGGUAGAAACAGUCUGUUAGGGCCAUGGAGAAGAUUGCCCAGGACACCUGAAGGCAUUAUUUUAUGCCAGUCAUCUGCAAGGAGAAAAACAGUGAAGGAAACACCAGCAUUUGUAGUUGUUGCUGAGCAGAGCUGUACAGAGCCAAGAACAUACAGUUUUCCCUGCAAUCUUGCCAGUGAGGAAUAGACCAAAGAUGCUGGGAGUGGGGGACUGAGCCAACAACCACAUAGAGCUAAACUACCUGUCAACUUAAAUCACAGCACUUCAGAGAAACAAAACCAGCAGCUCCGAUGAUCAGAGCCAAGCAACCCUAGAAUGUGCAAGAAGGUUCAAAGGAAGGAAAUUAAUGGUGGAAAAGCAGUACUCCUGGGAUGGAGGUAGCUGGAAACUACAGAAGAAUCUGUGCUGAACACAGGUCCAUGGAGGCUAUCUGCAAAAUUAGCGUGCAAACUGGAACAGCAGUGAGAUGUGGUGUUGGAUUUGUUAUUAGUUUCUUUGGAAGAAGGCAUAGGGAAGCUACACUCUCAAUAGCAGGAAUACAAUCCAAAGCGGUGUGAGAACUGAUCAGUGCUGCACUUGGCAUGAACUUAAGGGCACAUCUGUAUACCUCAAAAUUUAGAAAAAUGUGGUGAGUAGAUGGUCUUCAGAUCUCUGGAGCAACACUUUCUCAUCCAGAAACAGUCCCACUCCUCACUCCAUUUCAGCUGUAUGGGCUGGUGGCAAUCACUGCUUAAUUGGAAGGUCACUGUGCCACCAGCCUGUUCUUUGCCAUGGCAAAGAAGCAAAGACCCAACCUGCUAAUGAAGAUGAGGCAGACUGGCCUAUACUUGAAGGGAGAAAGGGCUGAGCCAAACAUCUCCAAUUUCUGAAGAGACAAAGUAUACCUUUGCCAAGCUGUUCUCUAGGGAAAGUAAUCCACUUGGUAUUUGUGGGGAAAACUGCAGUUGUUUAGGCAUAUUUCAACAGUGACAACAGUUGAAAUUUAGUAGCACUAUUUCACUUAGCAACCUUUGGGUGCCUCCUGGCAGUCCAUAUUAGUGAACAGUGAGUCAAAACAAACAGGAGCAAUAGUAGUUAUCAGUAUCUUUGCAAUAUCUAGACACAACAUAAUCAGCUUCAGUACUUUGUGUUUGCUUUUUGUUGUAUGGUUGUUUCUU